Vicia villosa (hairy vetch) is the source of this 2346-nucleotide RNA transcript. It is a transcript of the gene named protein trichome birefringence-like 6, with no coding region annotated. NCBI's taxonomy places the organism in Eukaryota, Viridiplantae, Streptophyta, Magnoliopsida, Fabales, Fabaceae. The record is from RefSeq and is a predicted model, not a curated record. The transcript has 8 exons.
GUUUUUGAUGAAAGGUAUCCUCUUUAUGGUGGAGCUUCUUAUCCUUUUGUUGAUGAAGGUUUUGAUUGCGAGGGGAAUGGAAGAUUGGAUAGAAAUUUUACUAAGUGGAGAUGGCAACCUCAAUAUUGUGACCUUCCAAGUGUUGGGUCGGUUCAUACAAGGUAAAGGACUAGCUUCAAUUGGGCCCCCUGCAUUGUUCUUCUGGAUUAGUCGGUCUUAAAGAGAGACUUUUUACUAUUAGGAGUAACAUAUGUGAAGUUAGUAGCAAAGGUGAAGUUAAUUUUAUUCUUUAAGUACUGUUUUUUUGUGUUAUAGAUUCAAUGCAACAAAAAUGUUGGAGUUGAUAAGAGGAAAAAAACUAGUUUUUGUGGGUGAUUCAAUUAAUAGGAACCAAUGGGAAUCAAUGUUGUGCAUGUUAUUGAGUGAUGUUAAAGAUCUACAGAGAGUGUUUGAGGCACGUGGAAGGAAAAUUACCAAAGAGAAAGGGAACUAUAGUUUCAGGUUUCUGGAUUAUCAAUGUAGAAUUGAGUACUAUGUAAGUCAUUUUAGUUCAUGAAAGCAAGGCGAGAGUAGGGCAGAAAUGAAGAACGACGCUGCGAAUUGAUGUCAUUGAUCACGGUUCGUCGAGAUGGAGAGGAGCUGAUAUUUUGGGUUUCAACACAAUGGUAUCAUUACAAAACCAAAGCUGGGUUAGUACCUCUCUUAAAUUUCCCAAUUGAAGCCUUGUGCAGCGCUACCUCUCUCUCCUUGCCUUCCUGCAAAUCGCAUUUUCCUAGCAGGAGGUCUUGCAGGAGGUCUUCAUGAGGGUGCUAAAGUGAUUGAGAAGCAUGCCGCACAACUCUAUACUCUAGUCGAAGAUUGUGACCAACCCGAUUAUGUCAAAUUGGUGAAAGCCCUUUGUGCAGAACAUAAUGUUAGUUUGCUGACAGUUCCAAGUGCAUUGACACUUGGAAAAUGAGAUGGUGUAAGUGCCCUUCACCCUUAACCUAGUUUUGGUUGAAGCAACAGCUCUACCAUAUCUAGAGAUUUGACCUAAUGAACUAAGUUUAGAUGAAAAGGCAGAGUUACUCUUUUUAGAUCAGGGGUAUGUAUGCCAAUUCAUUCAACACGACUAUUGUAAUUCUUGAAGUUGGUUGGAAAACCGGGAAAUAACUUGCACUUUUAUGAGUACUCUUCAUUUAGUCUAGUGUUUGGUUUACAACUGGCUUACACCUAAGGAAGUAGAAUUUCACAACCGUGAAAUGACUUGUUAGGAAUAUGUGAAGUUAACAACUAAGGAAGUAUUAACAAUUUAAUUAAUUUCAUUUUGCAGCUUGUUAGUUUAAUGUUUGGUUUACAACUGGCUUAUACCUAGAAGAAUUAGAAUUUGUUAUGUGCUGAUACUUAUUUCAAUUUGAUGGUAAAAACUUUGUUGCAAAUUUGAAGGAACCUUUUAAUCUUCAAAGGGGUUGGCUUUUGUGAGCUGGAGUUGGACUUGUUGGUGCUCUAGUUUCAAUUGGAUUGACAGGAGUUAAUGUGUCCUUUAGUUGAGAAACCCCACAAAGAGAGGUGCAGCUAUUUUCUCUUCUUUCUCUACUGCAGUAGUUAAGUUAUGCUCCUUAGAGCUGUUUUAAGAAGAAACGUCAAUGGAGAAGAGUGACUUGAUGCUGGACUUAGCCGCUUGGAGAUUUGCGAGGCACUUGGAUUUCACUGCCGGUCCGUCAUUUACAACACCCCCCGCAAAAACUUCUGGUGAAGAGAUUCUUGCUACUGGAUCUUUGGAUGGAACGGCAAUAAUUAAGUCAAAUUUGUUAUUGAAGCUGUUUGGAAUUCAUCUCAUUUGGCUGCAAAUAUUUCUUACAAGUAAAGCUUUGGGUUUCAUGUAUAUCUAAUGGAAAGUUAUUAUACAAAUCAUGAUAUCAUUGUUAAAUUGAUACAAAUCAUGGCGAGGUUGGCGACGUAGGCGAGGUCUGGCAAUCAGACAAUUCUGACAUGAACCAAAGGAGAGGCAAUAGGAAUUUUGAGAAUUUAUAUAGUAACACUUCCCCUGAUUAUUUGCCUUUUGAAUUCAGGGCUUGAAGUUGUCCUCGAGGCAGCAUGCACAUUUCUUGACACCCAGAUUCGGAAGAGAACAAUAGGUCAAAAACAAGGUUCGCAUGUAGGAUGACCUAACUCUGUUAUAUCAGAAACAUAUAGCAAGUGAAAACAUAGAGGCGAAUCCAGGACUCGUUUUAUAUUUAGUUUUGGUUUAGGUUUAUUAGAUGUAUAAUGUACUUAGUCAAUCACGAUGCUAUUGUCAUUGAUGUGUAGACACUAAAAUAAUUUGUAUUCAUACAAUUAUAGUAAUCAAGUUUUAAAUUCUUCAAA